Molecule: long non-coding RNA, 2124 nt
Organism: Monodelphis domestica (gray short-tailed opossum)
Lineage: Eukaryota; Metazoa; Chordata; Mammalia; Didelphimorphia; Didelphidae
Source: Ensembl
GCCCAAGGGGGAGUCUGGCGCCAAGCCGCCGAAGCGGGCCCCCCAGGAACCUCAGAAGGCAUGCCGUCGGCCCAGACACACAAGGGACAAUGGCUGCUACCCGCAGAGACACUGAGCCCAGCCCUCACGUCCCCAUGAGUCGGCUUCAAAGUGGCUAAUGUUGGGACUGUUUGGUUCGCGCUCACGCUCAACACUGAGUGAAUGAACUGAGGUGGCAUACUGGGGGCUGUGCCCAGCCAGGACUGACCUCUUCAGGCCUCCGAUUCUGGCUCAGAGCAGCAGAGACCAAUUUCGUCAAGGCCUUCGUCUGGACAAGGGCUCACGCGACGCUACCCAGCCUGCGUGGCCCGCCCGGACCGUGAAGGGACAGUCCUCCCGGCUGCCUCUGGACACUACUCGGCCGCUAGGGUUCUCGCCACAGUCCUGCCCUCAACCAUAAUGAAUGGAGGAAUGAACACGGCCGAGGUCCUGGAUUCUCGCUCAGCCUCGUCUCUGCCAGUGUGUCCUGGGCCAGAGGCGGAGCCCCAGCCCCAUCCCCUUCAACCGGAGGGACCUCAGAAUUGUUGGUGUUUCCACGGGCCCCCUCCGGGACAGUGACUUUUGCUCAGCUGGUCCCCUGAAGCAUCCCCUCCAAUCUCCGUGAUGUCUGUUUCAAAGUACAUAAUGCUGGACUUGGCUGCCCCCCCCCCUCUAUUGACCAAGAAAGUUCUAGAGGAUGGCAUUCCCCGCAUCUCUACCAGACCUCGCCGUUUGCCCUUCGCGGAUGGCCACAGGAGCGGAAAACCCCUCCCGAUGCUCCGCUUGCUUCCGGGGGGGGGGGCUCAUUCAGGUGCCCGUCUUCCCUCUCCCAGCAUCUGGGAUCCCCCUUUCCCCUGCUUCUUCCUUAGUGGAAAGGCAGGCUGGAGAGUGUCUUCCAUGUACAGACUGGUUCGCGCUCACCCUUAACCCUGAGUGAAUGAAUUGAAUUGGCGUACUCGGACGCGGACUGUGCCCAGGCAGGACUGACCUCUUUAGGCCUCUGAUUCUGGCUCAGAGCAGCAGAGACCAAUUUCCUCAAGGCCUUCCUCUGGACAAGGGCUCAUGGGACCCAACCAAGUCUUCAUAGCCCGCCCAGACUGUGGUGAGACAGUCCUCCUGGCUGCUUCCAGCCUGUACGCAGCGGGGCACGUCCCCCAUGCCCACGUACCCCCACAUGCCACUAUGUUUCUCACUAGAGUCCUGCAAUCAUCAGGAUGAGAGUUUGAAAGCAGACUAGUGUCUGGAUUGUUACUCAGUAUCCUGUCUCUGCCAGGUAAGGAUUCAGGGAGUCUGGCCUCUGGGAUUCCCCCAACCCCCCAGGUAGGAUCUAUGAGGGUGUCCUGACCAGGCCUUGGGAACAGGAGGUAGGAGCCUGGCUCAUGAUCUUCAAAUGAGGAUGUGUGGACACUCACUCUCUCCCUCCUGCUUCCUGAUCCAUUAUCCCACCCGGACCAGAAUGGAAAACCACUGCUCUGUUCAAUCCCUCCCUCAUUUUGAAUGAGGUGCAGGAGGGGUGACUUUGGCCCUUUCUUGGUAGCCCUCCAUGUCUGUCAUUUGCUUCCUGUGAGGGGUUUUUGCUCUGCUGAUUACCCUUCCCAGAACUGUUGCCAGAAGAACGAGAUUCCUUGUCUUCAUCCUCAGUGCUGAGCUCCCAUUAAAGGUUCAGCUGUGGAUUAUCCUUGUGGUCACCCUGGCACCUAAACACAGGAAGAUCCUGGGUGGCGACUGGGGGGGGAAAGACCAACCUGGCCGUAUGCUUAGAGACGGAGCCCCUGGCUUUAUUUCGAAGAAAAAACUCCUUUGGCCCUGGUAGCAGGGGAACUUUUCUGUUCCUGUGGGCAGCUGUGGCCUGGGGAAGUGAGAGGGGCGAUGUGCCCCUGCUGCAGUGGCACUUUCUCUCUGUGAUCAUCAUACAUGAAUGAUUGCUGGUGUCUUUGAUGGAAAUUCUCCCCAACUGCUACCAAAAGACUAGCAGUUUGUGGUUUCUUCCCAUUCUUAUGUGUUCUGCUGGGAAGUAGGAAGCGCCCCUCAUCAUCGGCUGACCUGCAUACGUUUCCUUAUACAGAGUGAUCUCUUGGCAAUAAUAAAGCAUUUCUCUUUCGAGAC